This is a long non-coding RNA of Esox lucius (northern pike), 1097 nucleotides long. Lineage: Eukaryota; Metazoa; Chordata; Actinopteri; Esociformes; Esocidae. The record is from Ensembl.
ACAGACCAACACAUCUCAUAUCACAGUGUUAUGGUUUAUUGUAUGUUUGUUUUAGUGUUUUCCUUAUUGGAUCGUGAUUACUGUCAUUACUUGAGUGAUGUUAUAUAGAGAGAAGGAGAGAGAAGGAGAGAGGAGGAGAGAGGAGGAGAGAGAAGGAGAGAGGAGAGAGAGGAGAGAGAAGGAGAAGAAAGAGCAUGAUAGAGAUGAUAGAAAGGGAUAAAGAGAGAUGUAAAAAGGGAUGUAGAAGGAGGUAGAGAGGUGUAGAGAGGGAUGUAGAAGGAGGUAGAGAGGUGUAGAAGGAGUUAGAGAGGAGUAGAAGGAGGUAGAGAGGUGUAGAAUAAGGUAGAGAGGUGUAGAAUGAGGUAGAGAGGUGUAGAGAGGGAUGUAGAAGGAGGUAGAGAGGUGUAGAAGGAGGUAGAGAGGUGUGGAGAGGUGUAGAAGGAGGUAGAGGGGUGUAGAAGGAGGUAGAAAGGUGUAGAAGGAGGUAGAGAGGUGUAGAAGGAGGUAGAGAGGUGUGGAGAGGUGUAGAAGGAGGUAGAGGGGUGUAGAAGGAGGUAGAGAGGUGUAGAAGGAGGUGGAGAGGUGUGGAAGGAGGUAGAGAGGUGUGGAGAGGGGGAUGGGAAUGGUAGAAUUACAUUUUAUCACAUACACACGUGCGACUGCACAGCUUGGAAUUACAGGUUUAACAUUUCACUCACCUAGCAUGCCUGUGUCUGUGUUUGUGUGUGUGUGUGUGUGUGUGUGUUUGGGUGUGUGUUCCAACAUUGCUCUUCGUUAGUUGAUCUAUGUUGUGUGUUUUUUGUGUGUGUGUUUGUUCCAUCAUUGCUUUUUGUUAGUUUAGGUAUUCAUUCAGAAUAGUUGGCGUUAGGUAUUAAUUUAGAGUAGUUAUGGUUAGGUAUUCAUUCAGAAUAGUUAGGGUUAGGUAUUCAUUCAGAAUAUUUGGGUUUAGGUAUUCAUUCAGAGUAGUUAUGGUUAGGUAUUCAUUCAGAAUAGCUAUGGUUAGUUAUUCAUCCAGAAUAGUUAGGUUUAAAUGUUUUUUCAAAAUAGAAUGGUUAGUUGUUAAGCUUCUGGUUAGGCUACUCUGAAGAGCUUGACUG